Molecule: ribosomal RNA, 253 nt
Filed under: uncultured bacterium
Lineage: Bacteria
Description: partial 16S ribosomal RNA
Rfam family: Bacterial small subunit ribosomal RNA
Source: RNAcentral
UACGGAGGGUGCAAGCGUUAAUCGGAAUUACUGGGCGUAAAGCGCACGCAGGUGGCUGAGUCAGUCGAUUGUGAAAGCCCUGGGCUUAACCUGGGAAUUGCAGUCGAUACUACUCAGCUAGAGUACGGUCGGGGUAGAAGGAAUUCCUGGUGUAGCGGUGAAAUGCGUAGAGAUCAGGAAGAACACCGGUGGCGAAAGCGUUCUGCUAGACCUGUACUGACACUGAGGGACGAAAGCUAGGGGAGCGAAUGGG